UUAAGCGACUAAGCGUACACGGUGGAUGCCCUGGCAGUCAGAGGCGAUGAAGGACGUGCUAAUCUGCGAAAAGCGUCGGUAAGGUGAUAUGAACCGUUAUAGCCGGCGAUGUCCGAAUGGGGAAACCCAGUGCAAUUCGUUGCACUAUCGUUAACUGAAUACAUAGGUUAACGAGGCGAACCGGGGGAACUGAAACAUCUAAGUACCCCGAGGAAAAGAAAUCAACCGAGAUUCCCCCAGUAGCGGCGAGCGAACGGGGAGCAGCCCAGAGUCUGAAUCAGCUUGUGUGUUAGUGGAACGGUCUGGAAAGUCCGACGGUACAGGGUGAUAGUCCCGUACACCAAAAUGCACAGGCUGUGAACUCGAAGAGUAGGGCGGGACACGUGGUAUCCUGUCUGAAUAUGGGGGGACCAUCCUCCAAGGCUAAAUACUCCUGACUGACCGAUAGUGAACCAGUACCGUGAGGGAAAGGCGAAAAGAACCCCGGCGAGGGGAGUGAAAAAGAACCUGAAACCGUGUACGUACAAGCAGUGGGAGCACCUUCGGGUGUGACUGCGUACCUUUUGUAUAAUGGGUCAGCGACUUAUAUUCUGUAGCAAGGUUAACCGUAUAGGGGAGCCGCAGGGAAACCGAGUCUUAACUGGGCGUUAAGUUGCAGGGUAUAGACCCGAAACCCGGUGAUCUAGCCAUGGGCAGGUUGAAGGUUGGGUAACACUAACUGGAGGACCGAACCGACUAAUGUUGAAAAAUUAGCGGAUGACUUGUGGCUGGGGGUGAAAGGCCAAUCAAACCGGGAGAUAGCUGGUUCUCCCCGAAGCUAUUUAGGUAGCGCCUCGUGAACUCAUCUUCGGGGGUAGAGCACUGUUUCGGCUAGGGGGUCAUCCCGACUUACCAACCCGAUGCAAACUACGAAUACCGAAGAAUGUUAUCACGGGAGACACACGGCGGGUGCUAACGUCCGUCGUGAAGAGGGAAACAACCCAGACCGCCAGCUAAGGUCCCAAAGUCAUGGUUAAGUGGGAAACGAUGUGGGAAGGCACAGACAGCCAGGAUGUUGGCUUAGAAGCAGCCAUCAUUUAAGAAAGCGUAAUAGCUCACUGGUCGAGUCGGCCUGCGCGGAAGAUGUAACGGGGCUAAACCAUGCACCGAAGCUGCGGCAGCGACACUAUGUGUUGUUGGGUAGGGGAGCGUUCUGUAGCCUGCGAAGGUGUGCUGUGAGGCAUGCUGGGAGGUAUCAGAAGUGCGAAUGCUGACAUAAGUAACGAUAAAGCGGGUGAAAAGCCCGCUCGCCGGAAGACCAAGGGUUCCUGUCCAACGUUAAUCGGGGCAGGGUGAGUCGACCCCUAAGGCGAGGCCGAAAGGCGUAGUCGAUGGGAAACAGGUUAAUAUUCCUGUACUUGGUGUUACUGCGAAGGGGGGACGGAGAAGGCUAUGUUAGCCGGGCGACGGUUGUCCCGGUUUAAGCAUGUAGGCUGGUUAUCCAGGCAAAUCCGGAUAAUCAAGGCUGAGGUGUGAUGACGAGGCACUACGGUGCUGAAGUAACAAAUGCCCUGCUUCCAGGAAAAGCCUCUAAGCAUCAGGUAACAUCAAAUCGUACCCCAAACCGACACAGGUGGUCAGGUAGAGAAUACCAAGGCGCUUGAGAGAACUCGGGUGAAGGAACUAGGCAAAAUGGUGCCGUAACUUCGGGAGAAGGCACGCUGGUGUGUAGGUGAAGCCCCUGCGGGUGGAGCUGAGACCAGUCGAAGAUACCAGCUGGCUGCAACUGUUUAUUAAAACACAGCACUGUGCAAACACGAAAGUGGACGUAUACGGUGUGACGCCUGCCCGGUGCCGGAAGGUUAAUUGAUGGGGUUAUCCGUAAGGAGAAGCUCUUGAUCGAAGCCCCGGUAAACGGCGGCCGUAACUAUAACGGUCCUAAGGUAGCGAAAUUCCUUGUCGGGUAAGUUCCGACCUGCACGAAUGGCGUAAUGAUGGCCAGGCUGUCUCCACCCGAGACUCAGUGAAAUUGAACUCGCUGUGAAGAUGCAGUGUACCCGCGGCAAGACGGAAAGACCCCGUGAACCUUUACUAUAGCUUGACACUGAACAUUGAGCCUUGAUGUGUAGGAUAGGUGGGAGGCUUUGAAGCGUGGACGCCAGUCUGCGUGGAGCCAACCUUGAAAUACCACCCUUUAAUGUUUGAUGUUCUAACGUUGGCCCCUGACCGGGGUUGCGGACAGUGUCUGGUGGGUAGUUUGACUGGGGCGGUCUCCUCCCAAAGCGUAACGGAGGAGCACGAAGGUUAGCUAAUCCUGGUCGGACAUCAGGAGGUUAGUGCAAUGGCAUAAGCUAGCUUGACUGCGAGCGUGACGGCGCGAGCAGGUGCGAAAGCAGGUCAUAGUGAUCCGGUGGUUCUGAAUGGAAGGGCCAUCGCUCAACGGAUAAAAGGUACUCCGGGGAUAACAGGCUGAUACCGCCCAAGAGUUCAUAUCGACGGCGGUGUUUGGCACCUCGAUGUCGGCUCAUCACAUCCUGGGGCUGAAGUAGGUCCCAAGGGUAUGGCUGUUCGCCAUUUAAAGUGGUACGCGAGCUGGGUUUAGAACGUCGUGAGACAGUUCGGUCCCUAUCUGCCGUGGGCGCUGGAGAAUUGAGGGGGGCUGCUCCUAGUACGAGAGGACCGGAGUGGACGCAUCACUGGUGUUCGGGUUGUCAUGCCAAUGGCACUGCCCGGUAGCUAAAUGCGGAAGAGAUAAGUGCUGAAAGCAUCUAAGCACGAAACUUGCCCCGAGAUGAGUUCUCCCUGAGACUUUAAGUCUCCUGAAGGAACGUUAAAGACGAUGACGUUGAUAGGCCGGGUGUGUAAGCGCAGCGAUGCGUUGAGCUAACCGGUACUAAUGAACCGUGAGGCUUAACCUU
Molecule: ribosomal RNA, 2897 nt
Filed under: Klebsiella pneumoniae
Lineage: Bacteria; Pseudomonadati; Pseudomonadota; Gammaproteobacteria; Enterobacterales; Enterobacteriaceae
Description: bacterial LSU rRNA
Rfam family: Bacterial large subunit ribosomal RNA
Source: RNAcentral